GAUGAACGCUGGCGGCGUGCUUAAUACAUGCAAGUCGCGCGACCAGAUAAGGAGUUUGUUCCUUUGCCGUUAGCGGCGGACGGGUGAGUAACACGUGGGUAACCUACCUAUAAGACUGGGCUAACUUAGGGGACCAGGAGCUAAUUCCUGAUAAUAUUUCGACCCGCAUGGUUCGAUAGUGAAAGAUGGUUUUGCUAUCACUUAUAGAUGGACCCGCGCCGUAUUAGCUAGUUGGUAAGGUAACGGCUUACCAAGGCGACGGUGCGUAGCUGACCGGGGAGUGUGAGCAGCCACACUGGAACUGGAACACGGACCAGACCCCUACUGGAGGCAGCGGUAGGGAAGAGGCAGCAAGGGGAAAGAGCGUAACGGAGCAACGCCGAGUGAGUGAGGAAAUUCCGCGGAUCGGAAAACUCAGCUAUUAUUGAAGGACGAUAAUGUAACUAACGGGGGGGUUUUUGAAGGUACCGAAUCAAAAAGGCCCGGCUAACUACGUG
Molecule: ribosomal RNA, 497 nt
Filed under: uncultured bacterium
Lineage: Bacteria
Description: partial 16S ribosomal RNA
Rfam family: Bacterial small subunit ribosomal RNA
Source: RNAcentral